GCAUCAGUGGUGUAGCGGUAACAUUGGGUCUUCCCAUCUGCAUUUAGCUUGCAUUGAUAGCUUGGCCUAGCUCCGGGUUCGACUCCCGGCUGAUGCA
Molecule: non-coding RNA, 97 nt
Organism: Cytidiella melzeri
Lineage: Eukaryota; Fungi; Basidiomycota; Agaricomycetes; Polyporales; Irpicaceae
Source: the annotation of a GenBank genome assembly